Molecule: ribosomal RNA, 471 nt
Filed under: uncultured bacterium
Lineage: Bacteria
Description: bacterial SSU rRNA
Rfam family: Bacterial small subunit ribosomal RNA
Source: RNAcentral
ACGAACGCUGGCGGCGUGGCUAAGGCAUGCAAGUCGAGCGAAUCCGUCGCAAGACGGAUUAGCGGCGAACGGGUGAGGAAUUCGUGGAUGACGUACCCUGGAGACGGGGAUAGCGGCGGGGGCAACCCCUUUGCGAAAGUGCCGGUAAUACCCGAUGACCCCGCGGGAUCGCAUGGUUCUGCGGGCAAAGGUUCAGGCGCUCUGGGAGCGGUUCACGUCCUAUCAGCUAGUUGGUGAGGUAACGGCCCACCAAGGCUUUGACGGGUAUCGGGCGUGAGAGCGUGGCCCGACACAUCGGAACUGAGACACGGUCCGGACACCUACGGGUGGCUGCAGCAACGAAUAUUCCGCAAUGGGCGAAAGCCUGACGGAGCGACGCCGCGUGCAGGAUGAAGUCCUUCGGGAUGUAAACUGCUGUCAGGGGUGAGGAAAACAAUGACCAGCCCCAGAGGAAGCACUGACUAACUCCGU